This is a long non-coding RNA of Esox lucius (northern pike), 652 nucleotides long. The record is from Ensembl. NCBI's taxonomy places the organism in Eukaryota, Metazoa, Chordata, Actinopteri, Esociformes, Esocidae.
GCUCGUCUUGAGAUCCAAAUGAAAAUUCAGUCUACUCUGAGAUGAGGACAGUUCUACAAGUUGACAGUCAGUCACAUUUUAAUUUGUUUCUGUAGUUUUGGACAAAGAAGAGGCAAUAUGCCAAUUCACUUGAUUAUUUAACUGGAAAUGUCUCUUGUCUACAUGGUCUGGACCAAUCUAUGUGACCUAUGCUGAGAUUGACUUCAGAAAGAUGGUCAAAACCCAGAAGAAGAAAAUCAACACCGCCGCCUGAGUCAGAAUAAGUCAAUUCUCCAAGAAAGACAGUCACAGUCCACAGUCCUUGAGGGAGAUGAACACAAUCAGUUGAGGAGCAGGAACAACCAGGGAAUGUGAACUUUGCACACACACUCUUUCUGUAGCUGCAGACAUUACACAGAAAUGUGACACACCCAUCACACACCCAGUCACGUAUGGGCCACACACACAGACAUAUGUUAUUUUAAAUGACAUGGGGUAAUGAUAAUAGGGUAAUGAUAAUGGAUGUUUUUUUUUUUAUCUUUGACUUCUUAAAUCAUUCAAAUAACUAAAUGAAAUAUCUGUAAAUUAAUUUCUCAAAAUAGAAGAAUUAUCCAGUUUUCUUGCAAUGGUCUUCAUUCUUUUUAAAUACUGUAUGUUUUAUACACCAGAUGGC